UCCUGAGUAACAAAUAUACCAAAAUGCUUCUGCUGCCCCUGCUCACAAUAUUAAAUAUUAUCACUAUAAAUGUUUCUUUUCUUUGUCAUCAACUUCAAGACUGUAAAAGAAACUAUGUAUUGUGACUUCUAUUACUUCAGUGUCAACAACUAUACUAGACUGAAUCAUAACAGUACCAUAAUAUGCUAUUAUUUCCUCUGGGGUAUAUUUUUCCAGCUUUCCAUGUUAGGAUUUAUGCUAGUGCACAGUUAUGUGUUGUUUUAAUGAAGAAUGGCCAGUCAAAUUGUUUCAAAGAUGCUUCCAGGUGUCUCAGCUUGUUUAAUCAAUUUAAUGCCUUCCAAAUAAAUUUGAUGACAACAACAAACACAUACCUAAAUCAGGGAGGUAUAAAAAUUGUUCCCCCUGCCUAAAUCUUAAUAUAUCUUAAAGGACAAAAACAAAAAUAUACAAAUAUGUAAAAUAAAUAAAUAAAAUAUAAAUACAAAAAUAUUAAUUUCACCAUAUCAUAAUUAAAACUGUGUAAGUAAUGCACAUCAUACAUUUUUGGGUAAGCCUAAAGUGUGGUCAGUGCAUCUCACUGAAGAACACAUAGUAAAGAAAACAAUAGGACACAAACCUGUCCAGUCUCACAUAAGGGAAGUUAUCUUUCAGGUAAUUUAUAUGUAAGCAGAAAAUAUGAAAUUUAAAUUCCGAACUUAAACUAUUCUAGAAAACAGUUAUGACAAAUGAGCACUGGAAAAAAUAAGAAUAAAGAUAAACCAGAAAGAGAGCAAAGAGGGCAGGCUUGACAACCACAGAAAGUGAUCAAGCAAUGAAAUGAGAAGUGUUUGUCAGAGGAGGAUAGCAGACAUGCAUUUUAUCCAAGGGAACCUGCAAAGAUGCAACAUGCCAGCCAGCCUGAAGUUGCAGUCACAAUGAUGCCUCAAAUUCCACAGUUAGGAGACAGAAACUGUAAGAAGUAUGAUUUCUAUAUUUGCAUUGAUAUAAAAUCGGUCAACAACAGCCAGAUGUCUUGCAUGGGAUAAGGGACGGAGAAAAAAACGAGUAACAACUGACCAAAUAAUGAAGUGGUACAUACAUGCAUCUUAAUGCUACUUUGCAAAAAUCUACCAUUACGCUACCGUAUAUGCCACGGCUGUAAUGUUUAACAGGCAACGUCUACCUGAUCUAAUUAAGCAAAUGCAAGAAGAUGAUCUGAUCAUUCGCAACCAUCAGAGGUAUAAUUAUUGGAAAUAAGAUUGCUGAAGGACAAACACAAGAGGGCGUCUCAGGGGAUAUUGAGAUGGCUCAUUGCGAAAUAUGCUUCCUGUUUAAAGGGAAACAUUGCUUUUGUUUUUUUAAAUUAUUUUUGUUAUAAAUCUACUGUAUCUUUAUUUGUUUGUUAAAUUAGGUUGGAAUUUCAAAAAUUUGUAUUGCUUUUGUGUUGUUCACAGCCACAUGAAAGAAUACUCUUAUGAUGGAAUGAUACAUUUCCUCAAAUGUAAUUAAUUAAAUAAUUAUUUAAUUAAUCACCAAAUUUAUUGUGUAUAAACGUAAUAGUUUUACCAGCAAAAAACUCAGUGUUCUUUCUGUAUUUGUACUUUAAUUAAAUUAUUGCCAAUUAAAUACAUUAAAAUUAUUAAAUAAAUAACAUUAUUUGAAAGUGCUUGCAUUUUUAUAUAGAAAAUUUCGAAUGUUAUGCAAUACCUUUUUUCUUGCAGGGUUUUAAGAUGAAAAGGGUAUCGAACGCCCAUAUCACACCCUAUAAAAACAUUUGACGUUUCUUUUUUCUCUAUGAAUGUGCUAUUUUUGCAGUUUGCUCUGCUUUUUGUCUCUUUUGUAAUUUGUCUGUUGUGAUGAGGACUCCCCUGAAAAUCAGCUUUGAUGAGUGGGACAUUUCCUCUUAAAAUAUUAAUAAAAGAAAGAAAGAAGAAGAACUGGAAAAGCAUGGACAAAUACUGAACUUUUUGUCUGGAGUAUUUGUAGGACCUACAUCAUAUGCAGAAAGCUGUGAAAAAUUGUUUUGAAUUCAAGAAGAAAUUCCCCCGAAUAAUGGCCUGAUAUCAUUUUAUGACGUUAUGUUAUGUUACGUUUGCUUAUUCCGAUGUCAAGUAUUUGAAUAGACCUCAUCUUUGAAUGGUAUAAAAAGACAAACCAUUCAGAGUUUGUACUAUUAUAUAAUGCAAUUCAUAUGUCAUAAGGAACUUUCCUCUUUUAAAAUUAUCUUAGAUGUAAUUAACAAAGGAGUCAUGAUUGAAUUAUGUAAAUAAUCCAUAUUUUUGAGGGAAUAAAAUUUGUGAUUAAAAAGCA
This is a long non-coding RNA of Anneissia japonica, 2289 nucleotides long. RefSeq lists it as uncharacterized. Lineage: Eukaryota; Metazoa; Echinodermata; Crinoidea; Comatulida; Comatulidae. The transcript is spliced from 5 exons. The record is from RefSeq and is a predicted model, not a curated record.